Molecule: long non-coding RNA, 610 nt
Filed under: Phoenix dactylifera (date palm)
Lineage: Eukaryota; Viridiplantae; Streptophyta; Magnoliopsida; Arecales; Arecaceae
Description: long non-coding RNA (PDAC_LNC020691)
Source: RNAcentral
GCCAGAAGACAUCUCUCAAAGUCUUUCAGCGAAAGAUCCGAAAGUUCUUAUAACCCGGUAUGCGUUCGUUAUGAGAUGAACGUACAAGACUACAAUGCUACUUGGUUAGAAAAGUGGGCUGAUGUGUUUCCUGACUAUGCUGAUGAUCCGGAUAUCUACAAGAGGCAUCGCCACUGGACUCAAUUUUAAAUAUCAGCAUGUAUGUUGGACUUUAAAUAUAUGUAAUUAAUUGUAUUAUUUUUUAAUUUUUACGUUACUACUUGAUUUGAAAAUAUUUUAUGUUGUUCAUUUUAUGAUUUGUAUGGUUUUAAAGCAAUAAGAUGUGUCAUCUAGGUUAAAUCGAGAUCAUAGAAACAUCAAAAAAAUCAACAAAAUAUCAUAUUAGACUUAAAAUCAUUUAGAAAGUUCAAAAAGAGUUAUUACCAAUUAAAUAUUCUUGAAAACUCAAAAAAAUGGGCGUGCCUCGGGCGCUGACCAGUACAAGUGCCAAUACUAAUUCGGCGGACCUUGGGUGCAACCAACAAAUACUAUGACCAUCUAGUCCAUACCAAACAUCGAAGGAGCCAGCAGAUUCUUGGGCGAAAACUGCAUAUUGGAGGUUUUCGACAGA